CGGGGCGUGGCGCAGCCUGGUAGCGCGCACCCUUGGGGUGGGUGAGGCCGGAGGUUCAAAUCCUCUCGCCCCGA
Molecule: transfer RNA, 74 nt
Filed under: Deltaproteobacteria bacterium
Lineage: Bacteria; Pseudomonadati; Myxococcota; Myxococcia
Description: tRNA-Pro
Rfam family: tRNA
About the family: Transfer RNA (tRNA) molecules are approximately 80 nucleotides in length.
Source: RNAcentral